CUAGUUGGUAAGGUAACGGCUUACCAAGGCAACGAUGGGUAGGGGUCCUGAGAGGGAGAUCCCCCACACUGGUACUGAGACACGGACCAGACUCCUACGGGAGGCAGCAGUGAGGAAUAUUGGACAAUGGGCGCAAGCCUGAUCCAGCCAUGCCGCGUGCAGGAUGAAGCAUCUAUGG
RNAcentral lists this ribosomal RNA (178 nucleotides) under Aeromonas salmonicida subsp. salmonicida 01-B526. Its description in RNAcentral is "partial 16S ribosomal RNA". It matches the Rfam family "Bacterial small subunit ribosomal RNA", at positions 245 to 421 of the family's 1533-position model. The record is from RNAcentral. Lineage: Bacteria; Pseudomonadati; Pseudomonadota; Gammaproteobacteria; Aeromonadales; Aeromonadaceae.